AACAGACGUCCAUGGACGAUCCAUCUCCGAAUCCACGGAGACUCGACUCAGAGGGACCCAUAGAAAUGGACCAAACAUCGCAUAACAUCUCAAAGUCUCAAAGCCGUCCACCCAGGAUGAUUCGUUGGGGUUGUUUUGCCAAGUAUCCAAAAUUACUCCUCAAUGUCAAUGAUAACAUAUUGUAAUAAUACCACUCUCGAAUACUAACAUAGCAUAGCAUUUGACUACCUACGUUGGCGAUUGGUGGUAAGGGCAUGGCAGGUGUAUCCUAUACUACUAGGAGAUUCAUAGCUAGCAUAGGUACCAUAAUAUUUCUAACAAUGCAACUAAUAAAACAUCUAGUGCAUAGUAAAAUAAUAGGUGGAAUGAUCAAAAUGAACUUGCCUUUCUCACGGUAGUUUGAGUUCAAACACUCGUCACAGUCACAAGGUUCGGUCUCCGAGAAAACUAUACGAGACAAACAAAAAUACACAUGCAUAAACACACAAUUCACAUCACGACAAAAUAAGAUAUGCUAUGAUGUGAUGCUUAACAUGUAACAUGAUUUGGUUUAUUUUAUUUGGGUGAUCAACUGGUUCUAAGCAUUGAUAAUUAAAAUUAACGCAUUAGGUCUAAAAAAAAAAUCAAAAACUAGGGAUUAAAACCCUAUAUUAAAGUUUUAUUGGCAUCAGCCGAAUAAUUCAAUUCAAAAUAUUUAUUUCUCUGUCACCAUGGACAGAGGAUAAUAAAAAAAAAAUUUGAGCACUGGUUUCAUUUAAAAAGGACCUCUAGAUAAUUAGUUAUGAUUUAAAUGGCAUAAAACCCUAUCCUGUAAUUGGAAUGUGAUUUAAAUAUUCAAAUUUGAAAUUGGACAGUGCCAAAAGAUUCUACAUUUCCUAAGGAUUCCAAAAAGGUGUGGAUCAUUAAAUUUGGCCAAACAGAUUAAAAGAUAUGAUCAUUUGAAGUUACAGGGGCUUUUCUGCAAAAGUGCCAUUUCUAAUUAUUCCGGGAUUAAAAUUUUAUUCUCGUUUUAUUUAGGCAGUGACACGUGGAGGCUCCUGAUUGGUUGAUACCGGUUCGGUUAAGUGAAUAAAAAAUAGAUCUAAUCUCAGCCGUUGGAGAUGGAUGGACGG
RNAcentral lists this long non-coding RNA (1112 nucleotides) under Brachypodium distachyon (stiff brome). RNAcentral describes it as "long non-coding RNA (BDIS_LNC004868)". Lineage: Eukaryota; Viridiplantae; Streptophyta; Magnoliopsida; Poales; Poaceae. The record is from RNAcentral.